RNAcentral lists this ribosomal RNA (482 nucleotides) under uncultured bacterium. RNAcentral's name for it is "partial 16S ribosomal RNA". It matches the Rfam family "Bacterial small subunit ribosomal RNA", at positions 30 to 507 of the family's 1533-position model. The record is from RNAcentral.
AUUGAACGCUGGCGGCAUGCUUUACACAUGCAAGUCGAACGGUAACAGCACUUCGGUGGCUGACGAGUGGCGCACGGGUGAGUAAUACAUCGGAACGUGCCUAGUAGUGGGGGAUAACUACUCGAAAGAGUAGCUAAUACCGCAUGAGAUCUAAGGAUGAAAGCAGGGGACCUUCGGGCCUUGCGCUACUAGAGCGGCUGAUGGCAGAUUAGGUAGUUGGUGGGAUAAAAGCUUACCAAGCCGACGAUCUGUAGCUGGUCUGAGAGGACGACCAGCCACACUGGGACUGAGACACGGCCCAGACUCCUACGGGAGGCAGCAGUGGGGAAUUUUGGACAAUGGGCGCAAGCCUGAUCCAGCAAUGCCGCGUGCAGGAUGAAGGCCUUCGGGUUGUAAAAUGCUUUUGUACGGAACGAAAAGCCCUCUUCUAAUACAGGAGGGUCAUGACGGUACCGUAAGAAUAAGCACCGGCUAACUACGUG